This 378-nucleotide ribosomal RNA is filed under the name uncultured bacterium. RNAcentral describes it as "bacterial SSU rRNA". It matches the Rfam family "Bacterial small subunit ribosomal RNA", at positions 29 to 433 of the family's 1533-position model. The record is from RNAcentral.
AGCGAACGCUGGCGGCAGGCUUAACACAUGCAAGUCGAGCGGGCGUAGCAAUACGUCAGCGGCAGACGGGUGAGUAACGCGUGGGAACGUACCUUUUGGUUCGGAACAACACAGGGAAACUUGUGCUAAUACCGGAUAAGCCCUUACGGGGAAAGAUUUAUCGCCGAAAGAUCGGCCCGCGUCUGAUUAGCUAGUUGGUGAGGUAAUGGCUCACCAAGGCGACGAUCAGUAGCUGGUCUGAGAGGAUGAUCAGCCACAUUGGGACUGAGACACGGCCCAAACUCCUACGGAGGCAGCAGUGGGGAAUAUUGGACAAUGGGCGCAAGCCUGAUCCAGCCAUGCCGCGUGAGUGAUGAAGGCCUUAGGGUUGUAAAGCUC